GACGAACGCUGGCGGCGUGCUUAACACAUGCAAGUCGAACGGAAAGGCCCUGCUUUUGUGGGGUGCUCGAGUGGCGAACGGGUGAGUAACACGUGAGUAACCUGCCCUUGACUUUGGGAUAACUUCAGGAAACUGGGGCUAAUACCGGAUAGGAGCUCCUGCUGCAUGGUGGGGGUUGGAAAGUUUCGGCGGUUGGGGAUGGACUCGCGGCUUAUCAGCUUGUUGGUGGGGUAGUGGCUUACCAAGGCUUUGACGGGUAGCCGGCCUGAGAGGGUGACCGGCCACAUUGGGACUGAGAUACGGCCCAGACUCCUACGGGAGGCAGCAGUGGGGAAUAUUGCACAAUGGGCGGAAGCCUAAUGCAGCAACGCCGCGUGCGGGGUGACGGCCUUCGGGUUGUAAACCGCUUUCGCCUGUGACGAAGCGUGAGUGACGGUAAUGGGUAAAGAAGCACCGGCUAACUACGUGCCAGCAGCCGCGGUGAUACGUAGGGUGCGAGCGUUGUCCGGAUUUAUUGGCGUAAAGGGCUCGUAGGUGGUUGAUCGCGUCGGAAGUGUAAUCUUGGGGCUUAACCCUGAGCGUGCUUUCGAUACGGGUUGACUUGAGGAAGAUAGGGGAGAAUGGAAUUCCUGGUGGAGCGGUGGAAUGCGCAGAUAUCAGGAGGAACACCAGUGGCGAAGGCGGUUCUCUGGGCCUUUCCUGACGCUGAGGAGCGAAAGCGUGGGGAGCGAACAGGCUUAGAUACCCUGGUAGUCCACGCUGUAAACGGUGGGUACUAGGUGUGGGGUCCAUUCCACGGGUUCCGUGCCGUAGCUAACGCUUUAAGUACCCCGCCUGGGGAGUACGGCCGCAAGGCUAAAACUCAAAGGAAUUGACGGGGCCCCGCACAAGCGGCGGAGCAUGCGGAUUAAUUCGAUGCAACGCGUAGAACCUUACCUGGGUUUGACAUGGAUCGGGAGCGCUCAGAGAUGGGUGUGCCUCUUUUGGGGUCGGUUCACAGGUGGUGCAUGGCUGUCGUCAGCUCGUGCCGUGAGAUGUUGGGUUAAGUCCCGCAACGAGCGCAACCCUUGUUCACUGUUGCCAGCACGUUAUGGUGGGGACUCAGUGGAGACCGCCGGGGUCAACUCGGAGGAACGUGGGGAUGACGUCAAGUCAUCAUGCCCCUUAUGUCCAGGGCUUCACGCAUGCUACAAUGGCUGGUACAGAGAGUGGCGAGCCUGUGAGGGUGAGCGAAUCUCGGAAAGCCGGUCUCAGUUCGGAUUGGGGUCUGCAACUCGACCUCAUGAAGUCGGAGUCGCUAGUAAUCGCAGAUCAGCAACGCUGCGGUGAAUACGUUCCCGGG
RNAcentral lists this ribosomal RNA (1342 nucleotides) under uncultured bacterium. RNAcentral describes it as "16S ribosomal RNA". It matches the Rfam family "Bacterial small subunit ribosomal RNA", at positions 28 to 1378 of the family's 1533-position model. The record is from RNAcentral.